CUCCCUUUAUAUGAAAAAAAAAAAUACAUUUAAAGUUAUAAAUUAGUGAAACCAUUUACACUUUGUUGUACUCACCAUAUAUUUACAUAUACCCCUGAACUUGAUCCCCAGGCAAGGGCAUAACCAUGUAUAAGAAUGAGGAUUUCUUAACCAUAAAUUUACCUAUGAAGUUCUAGACUAUUUUCAAAGAAGUACUUAACAGUCCUCCCUAGGAAAUUGGCAAUCUCGCGGAAUAAGUAUGAUAUUCUUAGAUCCAUCAUAAAAAUAGCAUGCAAAUGUUUAUACACCACAGGAUUGCAAAAGCAGCAAUAAUUUUCUAAAGAAAGUAUGAAAAAGCUGCUCUUACUUGUUAUUGUUGGAACAUGUGAGCUUGUCUUGGAAACAAGCACAUGGUUUCCAGCAGUUUUCCAUAGCUUGUAAGUCCCCAUAUAGUAUUUAAUUUCUUGUUUGACUUUGUACAAGUUCCUAUGUUAGUGGCAUUGAGAACUACUAGCUUGUAAGUUCCCAUGUAGUAUUUAAUUUCUUAUUUGACUUUGUACAAGUUCCUAUGUUAGUGGCAUUGGGAACUACAACUUUUGUAAUCUCCUUCUCUAUUUAAAUCAAAUGUUAAAGGCUGAAAAUAUAAGAAAAAAAAAAAACAUAUUUUCCAGCCAUUUCCUCUCAAUUUCUCUUCAUCAUUUCCAUAUUUCUUAAGAACUUGAGCUCAGAUUUAGCUCAGUUUAUAAGAACUUUAGCUCAAACCCAGCUAAGUUCUAUUUUAUUUCCGCAUUUACAGUGGUAUCAGAGCUCCUGUCCUACGUGCUGUGAGGCUAAAAACAAAAAAUCUAGAGAGUCAAACACGUGAGGAAGAGAAAUACCGAGUGUUUGAAAGAUUUGUGAGAUUUUUUGAAAAAAGAAAAAGAAGAACAAGAACAAGAACAAAACCAGAAAAAUGGCUUCAAGUAGCUCAUCAGCUCCUACCUUCAACGGAUCACUUUAUCAUUUGUGGUCGGUGAAGAUGAAAACUUACCUCAAAUCUCAAGGUCUAUGGAAAGUGGUUGAGACAGAUGAAGAUCCUCCCGCUCUCAGGCCAAAUCCAACAGUAGCUCAGCUCAGAGACCAUGAAGAACAGCUCCUCAGGAAAGAUAAAGCCUUGACUUGCAUCCACUCAAGCUUGGCAGAUCAUGUUUUCACCAGCAUCAUGGACCUGGAAACACCCAAAGCUGUUUGGGAUUACCUCAAAGAGAGCUUUGAAGGCACAGACCGAGUGAAAGCUGUGAAGCUCUUGACGCUCAAGAGAGAAUUUGAGCUGCUCAAGAUGAAGGAUGACGAGCUAGUGAAAGAUUAUUCAUCAAGAAUGAUGGAUCUUGUAAACCAAAUUAGGUUGUAUGGUGAAGCUCUACCUGAUCAGAGAGUGGUGGAGAAGAUUAUGGUCAGCGUACCAAGAAAAUUUGAAGCUAAAAUUUCAGCUAUUGAAGAGUCAUGUGAUUUGCAGAGGCUAACAGUAGUUGAGCUCAUUAGCAAAUUAGUAGCUCAAGAACAAAGAAGCUCAAUGAGAGAUGAAGAGACAGCUGAAGGUGCUUUCUUUGUUUCUCAUAAAGGAAAGAAGCCAAACAGCAAAAAUAGAAGAGGUACUAGCUACAAAAAUCGAGCUCCAGAAAAUUCGAGCUCAAAACAGGGCAAGCUUCCUCCUUGCUCCAUUUGCAAGAAAACAAACCAUGCUGAAAAAGAUUGUUGGUACAAAGAUGGUGAAAAACCAAAGUACAAAAUGCAGCUUUUGCAACAAGAUUGGCCACACCGAAAAGUUUUGCAGAGCUAAGAAAGCUCAACAAGCUCAGACGCAAGCUCAAGAGCAGGUCCUUGCAGCUGAGGAGGAGAAAUCACAUCCAAGAGAGCAUUUAUUCAUGGCUUCUCAAGCUAACAAAACAACUCAGAAUUACACUUGGCUCAUAGACAGUGGAUAUACUAGCCACAUGACACCAGAUGCUACAAGUUUUACUAGACUUGACGAGUCAAUAACAACCAGAGUGAAGCUGGGAGAUGGCUCAACGGUUUAAGCUAGAGGAAGAGGCUAAAUUUCUAUCAACACUAAGAAAGGUAUCAAAGUUAUCUCAGAUGUUCUUUACAUACCUGAGCUCAAUCAAAAUUUGCUUAGUGUGCCUCAAAUGAUUAGAAAAGGUUAUGGUGUCUAUUUCAAAAAUGCAUGCUGCUAUAUUUUAGAUACCUGUGGUGUUGAGAUAGCUAAAGUCAAGAUGAUUGGUAAUAGCUUUUAUUUGAAGCUAGAUGUUAUUCAGACAUGUGCAUUUAGUGUAAAAGAGGAUGAUAGCUUGAAAUGGCAUAAGAGGCUAGGCCACUACAAUUUUAGAACUUUAAAAGAGAUGCAUGAUUUAGAGCUAGUUUUGAGUCUGCCUGAAAUUGCAGCUCCAGAAGUAGAGUGUGAGGGCUGUAAGCUUGGAAAGUCACAAAGAACUCCUUUUCCAAAAGGCGGAGUCACUAGAGCUAUUGAAAAGCUAGAAAUUGUGCAUUCAGAUAUUUGUGGUCAUAUGGCAACACCUUCUUUGAGUGAAAACAGGUACUUUGUGCUCUUUAUUGAUGAUUUUUCAAGGAUGACUUGGGUGCACUUCCUCAAAACCAAGUCCUCAGUUUUUUCAAUUUUCAAAAAUUUCAAGAAGCUAGUGGAAACUCAAAGUAGCUGCAAGCUUAAGAUGUUGAGAACUGACAAUGGUGGAGAGUACACUUCAUAAGAAUUCAGCUCCUUUUGCCAAGAAGAAGGCAUCCUACACCAGCUCACGGUUCCAUAUUCUCCACAACAAAAUGGAGUCUCAGAAAGAAAGAAUAGAACUGUGAUGAACAUGGCUAGAGGCAUGCUGUUUGAGAAGAAGCUACCAAAGACUUUUUGGGCUGAAGCUGUAGCUACUUCAGUAUAUUUGUUGAAUAGAAUUGCAAAGAAGGCAGUGGAAGGCAAGGCCCCAUAUGAAGCUUGGAAUGGUGUCAAGCCUUCAGUUGAGCAUCUCAGAAUUUUUGGCUCAAUAUGCUAUUUUCACAUUCCUUCAGUCAAAAGAACGAAGCUAGAUCAGAGAGCUAUGAAGGGUAUAUUUGUAGGCUAUUCAACAGAGUCCAAAGGCUACAGAAUUUUUGAGCUCAACAAUAAAAGAAUUGAGCUCAGCAGAGAUGUGAGCUUUGAUGAGAGCUCUUUUUGGAAUUGGGAUUCACAUGAAGUCGAGAAGCAUGAGCUCCUUUCCUUAUUAGCUCCUACUUUUGAAGUGGAAGAAGAAGAGAACGUCAAUGACGAGCUAUUUGAUGUGCACAACACUAGUGACACUCAAGUGCUCAGAACAAGACCGUUAGCUGAGGUGUAUGAAAGAUGCAAUUUUGUCUUCGCUGAGCCAGCUAACUUUGAUGAAGCUUCCAAGCAUCCAGAAUGGAUUGAAGCUAUGAAAGCUGAAAUUCAAAUGAUAGAAAAGAACAACACUUGGCUGCUCACUGAGCUACCACAAAACAAGCAAGCUAUAGGAGUCAAAUGGGUGUUCAGAACCAAGUACAAUCCUGAUGGCUCAAUCAACAAGCUCAAGGCCAGAUUAGUUGCGAAGGGCUAUGCUCAAGUUGCGGGUAGUGACUAUGGGGAUACCUUUGCUCCAGUAGCUAGACAUGACACUAUCAAGUUGCUGUUGUCUUUUGCAGCUCAAAUGGGCUGGAAAGUUUUCCAUCUCGAUGUGAAAUCAGCAUUCUUGAAUGGUGAGCUCAAGGAGGAGCUCUACAUAGAGCAACCAGAAGGUUUCCAAGUGAGAGGAAGAGAAGAUGAGGUGUACAAGCUAAGAAAGGCUUUGUACGGGCUGAAGCAAGCUCCAAGAGCUUGGUACUAGAAAAUUGAUGCUCACUUGAUGCAACAAGGGUUCAAGAGAAGUGAUAAUGAAGCUACUCUUUAUUUGAAGCAAGAAGAUGGAGAGCUCAAGAUAGUGGUUUCAUUAUAUGUUGAUGACCUCCUUGUUACUGGUAGCCAAGAAGAAGCUGUUUCAGAACUCAAGAAGCAAAUGGAAAGUGUUUUUGAGAUGUCCGAUUUGGGCUUAAUGAACUAUUUUCUUGGGAUGGAAAUUCAUCAAUGCUCCUCAGGAAUUUUCAUAUCUCAAAGAAAGUAUGCUUUUGAUGUUUUGAAGAAGUUUAAGCUAGAAGCUUGUAAAGAAGUUGCAGCUCCAAUAGCUCAGAAUGAAAAGCUUUCGAAGAAUGAUAGAGAAAAGCUAGAAAACCCAAUUGUGUACAGAAGCAUUGUUGGCAGCUUGCUGUAUCUUUCAGCUACAAGACCUGACCUAAUGUAUCCAGCUAGCCUUCUUUCAAGAUUCAUGAGCUAUCCUACGAGUGUGCAUUUAGGAGUAGCUAAAAGAGUUCUGAAGUUCUUAAAGGGUACCGUGAAGGAUGGUAUUUGGUAUCACAGGCUUGACCAAAUUGAGCUACAAGGUUAUGAUAGUGAUUGGGCUGGAAGUAUGGAUGACAUGAAGAGCACCUCAGGCUAUGUGUUCUCGCUAGGCUCAGGUGCAAUUUGCUGGAACUCAAAGAAACAAGAAGUUGUAGCUCAAUCAACAGCUGAAGCUGAGUAUGUGUCGAUUGCAGCUGCAUCAAAUCAAGCUAUAUGGCUUAGGAAGCUCUUGUCAGAUUUGUGUGUUGAGCUAGACAAACCAACUACAAUCUAUUGUGACAACAAGUCAGCAAUUGCUAUAGCUGAAAAUCCAGUUCAACAUGGACGAACCAAGCACAUCAAUGUGAAGUUUCACUCCAUUAGAGAAGCUGAGAAGAAUUUGGAGAUCAAGCUCCAGCAUUGCUCUUCAGAAGAGCAGCUUGCUGAUCUCUUUACCAAACCAUUAUCAAGACCAAGAAUUGAUUUUUUGAAGAAUCAGCUAGGAGCUUCCAAGACCAACCUCAAGGAGGAGUGUUGGAACAUGUGAGCUUGUCUUGGAAACAAGCACAUGGUUUCCAGCAGUUUUCCAUAGCUUGUAAGUCCCCGUGUAGUAUUUAAUUUCUUGUUUGACUUUGUACAAGUUUCUAUGUUAGUGGCAUUGGGAACUACUAGCUUGUAAGUUCCCACGUAGUAUUUAAUUUCUUAUUUGACUUUGUACAAGUUCCUAUGUUAGUGGCAUUGGGAACUACAACUUUUG
RNAcentral lists this long non-coding RNA (5126 nucleotides) under Ricinus communis (castor bean). RNAcentral's name for it is "long non-coding RNA (RCOM_LNC003011)". Lineage: Eukaryota; Viridiplantae; Streptophyta; Magnoliopsida; Malpighiales; Euphorbiaceae. The record is from RNAcentral.